Molecule: ribosomal RNA, 497 nt
Filed under: uncultured bacterium
Lineage: Bacteria
Description: partial 16S ribosomal RNA
Rfam family: Bacterial small subunit ribosomal RNA
Source: RNAcentral
GAUGAACGCUGGCGGCGUGCCUAAUACAUGCAAGUCGAGCGAACAGACGAGGAGCUUGCUCCUCUGACAUUAGCGGCGGACGGGUGAGUAACACGUGGAUAACCUACCUAUAAGACUGGGAUAACUUCGGGAAACCGGAGCUAAUACCGGAUAACAUGUUGAACCGCAUGGUUCAACAGUGAAAGACGGUCUUGCUGUCACUUAUAGAUGGAUCCGCGCCGCAUUAGCAAGUUGGUAAGGUAACGGCUUACCAAGGCAACGAUGCGUAGCCGACCUGAGAGGGUGAUCGGCCACACUGGAACUGAGACACGCUCCAGACUCCUACGGGAGGCAGCAGUAGGGAAUCUUCCGCAAGGGGCGAAAGCCUGACGGAGCAACGCCGCGUGAGUGAAGAAGGUCUUCGGAUCGUAAACCUCUGUUAUUAGGGAAGAACAAAUGUGUAAGUAACUAUGCACGUCUUGACGGUACCUAAUCAGAAAGCCACGGCUAACUACGUG